RNAcentral lists this transfer RNA (75 nucleotides) under Vibrio cholerae. RNAcentral describes it as "tRNA-Met". It matches the Rfam family "tRNA". From Rfam's summary of the family: Transfer RNA (tRNA) molecules are approximately 80 nucleotides in length. Their secondary structure includes four short double-helical elements and three loops (D, anti-codon, and T loops). The record is from RNAcentral. Lineage: Bacteria; Pseudomonadati; Pseudomonadota; Gammaproteobacteria; Vibrionales; Vibrionaceae.
GUGCCCUUAGCUCAGAGGCAGAGCAACCGACUCAUAAUCGGUAGGUCGUGGUAUCGUAAUCCACAGGGCGCACCA